GUUUCUUUUGUCAUGCUUGAUUAUCAGCAGCCUUUACAUUUUCCAUUCCAAACUUAUUAUAUAUCUAUAUAACUAUAAUAGUAUUUCUUUCCUGUAUUAUACUUUAAUAAUUUUCUUUUUCUUAAUUUUGUGUUAUUACUCGCAAGAGAAGGGUUCUUUUAUAGAGAGUUAGAGCAAGUCAACUGUGAAGGUUUGGGAAAUUGAUGAGAGCAAGCAUAAAUCUGGUACGGUUAAUCACACAUUGGGUUGGCCUUUGGAUCACAAGACAUAUGGGGGAUCGUUUCUGUACCACAUGAAUGAUAGACAGGAAUGCUAGCAGCAGAAGCUGCAUUUGGUGCAGUUCAUGAAUGCUUGAAUAAGGAAACCUAUUGGGAUAAUUUAAAUAUUUC
Long non-coding RNA from Pistacia vera, 389 nucleotides. RefSeq lists it as uncharacterized. NCBI's taxonomy places the organism in Eukaryota, Viridiplantae, Streptophyta, Magnoliopsida, Sapindales, Anacardiaceae. The record is from RefSeq and is a predicted model, not a curated record. The transcript has 3 exons.